UACGUAGGGUGCGAGCGUUAAUCGGAAUUACUGGGCGUAAAGCGUGCGCAGGCGGUUUUGUAAGUCUGACGUGAAAUCCCCGGGCUUAACCUGGGAAUUGCGUUGGAGACUGCAAGGCUGGAGUCUGGCAGAGGGGGGUAGAAUUCCACGUGUAGCAGUGAAAUGCGUAGAUAUUGGGAGGAACACCGGUGGCGAAGGCGGCCCCCUGGACCGGUACUGACGCUGAGGCGCGAAAGCGUGGGGAGCAAACAGG
This 253-nucleotide ribosomal RNA is filed under the name uncultured bacterium. RNAcentral describes it as "partial 16S ribosomal RNA". It matches the Rfam family "Bacterial small subunit ribosomal RNA", at positions 524 to 776 of the family's 1533-position model. The record is from RNAcentral.